Long non-coding RNA from Poecile atricapillus (Black-capped chickadee), 408 nucleotides. RefSeq lists it as uncharacterized. The transcript is spliced from 3 exons. The record is from RefSeq and is a predicted model, not a curated record. Lineage: Eukaryota; Metazoa; Chordata; Aves; Passeriformes; Paridae.
GGUACCAGAGCAAUCCAUCCUAAAAGUUGCAACUGUUCAGUACAGUUGAAUUGUCACUCCACAGUGAGAAAAGCUCAGCAGAGGAAAAAUGAUUUUUAAAAACAUCAAUAUUCUUCUGAGAAACAGAAGAAAGCAAGGAAGAGAUAUCCUCACCUGCUGCCAUCACAUGUCCCAGUAUCUGGCCUUUGGAAGCACCCCCCAACCCCUGCCCCAACCAAACAAGACAUGAGGGGGUACAACCCUUCCCUGCCCCUGGGGUUCAUCCUUAGCCAGAGGACUUCACUGUGUUCCAAUCUAACCAGCCUAAAAGAUGAUGAAAUGGAACAGCUAUUGUGGAUACUUCGCCUGAGUACAAUGAAGUCACAAGUGCCAAGACAGGCACAAGUAUCAGAAGAGAUUAUUUUCUAC